CCGUGCGGCGUGCCCUAUACAUGCAAGUCGAACGAACUCUGGUAUUGAUUGGUGCUUGCAUCAUGAUUUACAUUUGAGUGAGUGGCGAACUGGUGAGUAACACGUGGGAAACCUGCCCAGAAGCGGGGGAUAACACCUGGAAACAGAUGCUAAUACCGCAUAACAACUUGGACCGCAUGGUCCGAGUUUGAAAGAUGGCUUCGGCUAUCACUUUUGGAUGGUCCCGCGGCGUAUUAGCUAGAUGGUGGGGUAACGGCUCACCAUGGCAAUGAUACGUAGCCGACCUGAGAGGGUAAUCGGCCACAUUGGGACUGAGACACGGCCCAAACUCCUACGGGAGGCAGCAGUAGGGAAUCUUCCACAAUGGACGAAAGUCUGAUGGAGCAACGCCGCGUGAGUGAAGAAGGGUUUCGGCUCGUAAAACUCUGUUGUUAAAGAAGAACAUAUCUGAGAGUAACUGUUCAGGUAUUGACGGUAUUUAACCAGAAAGCCACGGCUAACUACGUGCCAGCAGCCGCGGUAAUACGUAGGUGGCAAGCGUUGUCCGGAUUUAUUGGGCGUAAAGCGAGCGCAGGCGGUUUUUUAAGUCUGAUGUGAAAGCCUUCGGCUCAACCGAAGAAGUGCAUCGGAAACUGGGAAACUUGAGUGCAGAAGAGGACAGUGGAACUCCAUGUGUAGCGGUGAAAUGCGUAGAUAUAUGGAAGAACACCAGUGGCGAAGGCGGCUGUCUGGUCUGUAACUGACGCUGAGGCUCGAAAGUAUGGGUAGCAAACAGGAUUAGAUACCCUGGUAGUCCAUACCGUAAACGAUGAAUGCUAAGUGUUGGAGGGUUUCCGCCCUUCAGUGCUGCAGCUAACGCAUUAAGCAUUCCGCCUGGGGAGUACGGCCGCAAGGCUGAAACUCAAAGGAAUUGACGGGGGCCCGCACAAGCGGUGGAGCAUGUGGUUUAAUUCGAAGCUACGCGAAGAACCUUACCAGGUCUUGACAUACUAUGCAAAUCUAAGAGAUUAGACGUUCCCUUCGGGGACAUGGAUACAGGUGGUGCAUGGUUGUCGUCAGCUCGUGUCGUGAGAUGUUGGGUUAAGUCCCGCAACGAGCGCAACCCUUAUUAUCAGUUGCCAGCAUUAAGUUGGGCACUCUGGUGAGACUGCCGGUGACAAACCGGAGGAAGGUGGGGAUGACGUCAAAUCAUCAUGCCCCUUAUGACCUGGGCUACACACGUGCUACAAUGGAUGGUACAACGAGUUGCGAACUCGCGAGAGUAAGCUAAUCUCUUAAAGCCAUUCUCAGUUCGGAUUGUAGGCUGCAACUCGCCUACAUGAAGUCGGAAUCGCUAGUAAUCGCGGAUCAGCAUGCCGCGGUGAAUACGUUCCCGGGCCUUGUACACACCGCCCGUCACACCAUGAGAGUUUGUAACACCCAAAGUCGGUGGGGUAACCUUUUAGGAACCAGCCGCCUAAAGGGUGAACCAGGU
RNAcentral lists this ribosomal RNA (1474 nucleotides) under Lactiplantibacillus plantarum. Its description in RNAcentral is "bacterial SSU rRNA". It matches the Rfam family "Bacterial small subunit ribosomal RNA". The record is from RNAcentral. Lineage: Bacteria; Bacillati; Bacillota; Bacilli; Lactobacillales; Lactobacillaceae.